AAGCUGGUCGAAAAAGGUUCAUCGUGAGAAGUCAGCCGAAGCCAUAGUAGCGAUUUCUAUCAUGAAGGGC
This 70-nucleotide non-coding RNA is filed under the name Tenuibacillus multivorans. Lineage: Bacteria; Bacillati; Bacillota; Bacilli; Caryophanales; Bacillaceae. The record is from RNAcentral.